RNAcentral lists this ribosomal RNA (1830 nucleotides) under Escherichia coli. RNAcentral describes it as "partial 23S ribosomal RNA". It matches the Rfam family "Bacterial large subunit ribosomal RNA", at positions 984 to 2798 of the family's 2925-position model. Lineage: Bacteria; Pseudomonadati; Pseudomonadota; Gammaproteobacteria; Enterobacterales; Enterobacteriaceae. RNAcentral also lists the same sequence under 1 other name. The record is from RNAcentral.
ACACACGGCGGGUGCUAACGUCCGUCGUGAAGAGGGAAACAACCCAGACCGCCAGCUAAGGUCCCAAAGUCAUGGUUAAGUGGGAAACGAUGUGGGAAGGCCCAGACAGCCAGGAUGUUGGCUUAGAAGCAGCCAUCAUUUAAAGAAAGCGUAAUAGCUCACUGGUCGAGUCGGCCUGCGCGGAAGAUGUAACGGGGCUAAACCAUGCACCGAAGCUGCGGCAGCGACGCUUAUGCGUUGUUGGGUAGGGGAGCGUUCUGUAAGCCUGUGAAGGUGUGCUGUGAGGCAUGCUGGAGGUAUCAGAAGUGCGAAUGCUGACAUAAGUAACGAUAAAGCGGGUGAAAAGCCCGCUCGCCGGAAGACCAAGGGUUCCUGUCCAACGUUAAUCGGGGCAGGGUGAGUCGACCCCUAAGGCGAGGCCGAAAGGCGUAGUCGAUGGGAAACAGGUUAAUAUUCCUGUACUUGGUGUUACUGCGAAGGGGGGACGGAGAAGGCUAUGUUGGCCGGGCGACGGUUGUCCCGGUUUAAGCGUGUAGGCUGGUUUUCCAGGCAAAUCCGGAAAAUCAAGGCUGAGGCGUGAUGACGAGGCACUACGGUGCUGAAGCAACAAAUGCCCUGCUUCCAGGAAAAGCCUCUAAGCAUCAGGUAACAUCAAAUCGUACCCCAAACCGACACAGGUGGUCAGGUAGAGAAUACCAAGGCGCUUGAGAGAACUCGGGUGAAGGAACUAGGCAAAAUGGUGCCGUAACUUCGGGAGAAGGCACGCUGAUAUGUAGGUGAAGUCCCUCGCGGAUGGAGCUGAAAUCAGUCGAAGAUACCAGCUGGCUGCAACUGUUUAUUAAAAACACAGCACUGUGCAAACACGAAAGUGGACGUAUACGGUGUGACGCCUGCCCGGUGCCGGAAGGUUAAUUGAUGGGGUCAGCGCAAGCGAAGCUCUUGAUCGAAGCCCCGGUAAACGGCGGCCGUAACUAUAACGGUCCUAAGGUAGCGAAAUUCCUUGUCGGGUAAGUUCCGACCUGCACGAAUGGCGUAAUGAUGGCCAGGCUGUCUCCACCCGAGACUCAGUGAAAUUGAACUCGCUGUGAAGAUGCAGUGUACCCGCGGCAAGACGGAAAGACCCCGUGAACCUUUACUAUAGCUUGACACUGAACAUUGAGCCUUGAUGUGUAGGAUAGGUGGGAGGCUUAGAAGUGUGGACGCCAGUCUGCAUGGAGCCGACCUUGAAAUACCACCCUUUAAUGUUUGAUGUUCUAACGUUGACCCGUAAUCCGGGUUGCGGACAGUGUCUGGUGGGUAGUUUGACUGGGGCGGUCUCCUCCUAAAGAGUAACGGAGGAGCACGAAGGUUGGCUAAUCCUGGUCGGACAUCAGGAGGUUAGUGCAAUGGCAUAAGCCAGCUUGACUGCGAGCGUGACGGCGCGAGCAGGUGCGAAAGCAGGUCAUAGUGAUCCGGUGGUUCUGAAUGGAAGGGCCAUCGCUCAACGGAUAAAAGGUACUCCGGGGAUAACAGGCUGAUACCGCCCAAGAGUUCAUAUCGACGGCGGUGUUUGGCACCUCGAUGUCGGCUCAUCACAUCCUGGGGCUGAAGUAGGUCCCAAGGGUAUGGCUGUUCGCCAUUUAAAGUGGUACGCGAGCUGGGUUUAGAACGUCGUGAGACAGUUCGGUCCCUAUCUGCCGUGGGCGCUGGAGAACUGAGGGGGGCUGCUCCUAGUACGAGAGGACCGGAGUGGACGCAUCACUGGUGUUCGGGUUGUCAUGCCAAUGGCACUGCCCGGUAGCUAAAUGCGGAAGAGAUAAGUGCUGAAAGCAUCUAAGCACGAAACUUGCC